GACGAACGCUGGCGGCGUGCUUAACACAUGCAAGUCGAGCGGAAAGGCCCUUCUGGGUACUCGAGCGGCGAACGGGUGAGUAACACGUGAGUAACCUGCCCCAGACUUUGGGAUAACCCUCGGAAACGGGGGCUAAUACCGGAUACGACACAGCUUCGCAUGGGGUCUGUGUGGAAAGUUUUUCGGGUUGGGAUGGGCUCGCGGCCUAUCAGCUUGUUGUUGGGGUGAUGGCCUACCAAGGCGACGACGGGUAGCCGGCCUGAGAGGGCGACCGGCCAAACUGGGACUGAGACACGGCCCAGACUCCUACGGGAGGCAGCAGUGGGGAAUAUUGCACAAUGGGCGGAAGCCUGAUGCAGCGACGCCGCGUGAGGGAUGACGGCCUUCGGGUUGUAAACCUCUUUCAGCAGGGACGAAGCGUAAGUGACGGUACCUGCAGAAGAAGCGCCGGCCAACUACGUG
Molecule: ribosomal RNA, 462 nt
Filed under: uncultured bacterium
Lineage: Bacteria
Description: partial 16S ribosomal RNA
Rfam family: Bacterial small subunit ribosomal RNA
Source: RNAcentral